RNAcentral lists this ribosomal RNA (253 nucleotides) under uncultured bacterium. Its description in RNAcentral is "partial 16S ribosomal RNA". It matches the Rfam family "Bacterial small subunit ribosomal RNA", at positions 524 to 776 of the family's 1533-position model. The record is from RNAcentral.
UCCGUAGGGUGCAAGCGUUAAUCGGAAUUACUGGGCGUAAAGGGUGCGCAGGCGGUUUUGUAAGUCUGUCGUGAAAGCCCCGGGCUCAACCUGGGAAUUGCGAUGGAGACUGCAAGGCUUGAAUCUGGCAGAGGGGGGUAGAAUUCCACGUGUAGCAGUGAAAUGCGUAGAGAUGUGGAGGAACACCGAUGGCGAAGGCAGCCCCCUGGGUCAAGAUUGACGCUCAUGCACGAAAGCGUGGGGAGCAAACAGG